RNAcentral lists this ribosomal RNA (305 nucleotides) under uncultured bacterium. RNAcentral's name for it is "bacterial SSU rRNA". It matches the Rfam family "Bacterial small subunit ribosomal RNA", at positions 333 to 636 of the family's 1533-position model. The record is from RNAcentral.
AUGCUCCUACGGGAGGCAGCAGUGAGGAAUAUUGGUCACUGGGCGAGAGCCUGAACCAGCCAAGUCGCGUGAGGGAUGACCGCCCUAUGGGUUGUAAACCUCUUUUGUAUGGGGGGAAUAAGCUUUACGAGUAGAGUGAUGACAGUACCAUACGAAUAAGCGUCGGCUAACUCCGUGCCAGCAGCCGCGGUAAUACGGAGGAUGCGAGCGUUAUCCGGAUUUAUUGGGUUUAAAGGGUGCGUAGGCGGCAUUAUAAGUUAGUGGUAAAAUAUUGGGGCUUCACCUCACUACGCCAUUCAUACUGU